CACGCAGGCGGUUAUGCAAGUCUGAUGUGAAAUCUCCGGGCUCAACUCGGAAUCCGCGUUGGAAACUGCAUGACUAGAGUAUUAGAGGGGGAGUCGGAAUUCCUAGUGUAGGGGUGAAAUCUGUUGAUAUUAGGAAGAACACCGGUGGCGAAGGCGGACUCCUGGCUGAAUACUGACGCUGAGGUGCGAAAGCAUAGGGAGCAAACAGGAUUAGAUACCCUGGUAGUCUAUGCUGUAAACGAUGUGCACUUGGUGUUGGGCCGAUUAGGUUCAGUGCCGUAGCUAACGCGAUAAGUGCACCGCCUGGGGAGUAUGCCCGCAAGGGUGAA
RNAcentral lists this ribosomal RNA (329 nucleotides) under uncultured bacterium. RNAcentral's name for it is "bacterial SSU rRNA". It matches the Rfam family "Bacterial small subunit ribosomal RNA", at positions 568 to 898 of the family's 1533-position model. The record is from RNAcentral.